AAAAUUGUUGUUAAGGAACUCGGCAAAUUAACCCCGUAAGUUCGCGAGAAGGGGUGCCAUGGCAACAUGGCCGCAGUGAAAUGGCCCAAGCAACUGUUUAACAAAAACACAGGUCUCUGCAAAAGCGCAAGCUGAAGUAUAGGGGCUGACGCCUGCCCGGUGCUGGAAGGUUAAGGGGAAUGCUUAGGAGCAAUCCGAAGGUGUGAACUUAAGCCCCAGUAAACGGCGGCCGUAACAAUAACGGUCCUAAGGUAGCGAAAUUCCUUGUCAGGUAAGUUCUGACCCGCACGAAUGGCGUAAUGACUUGGGCACUGUCUCAACAACAAAUCCGGCGAAAUUGUAGUGCCAGUGAAGAUGCUGGCUACCCGCGAUUGGACGGAAAGACACCGUAGAGCCUUACUGUAGCUUAUCAUUGAGUUUCGAUAUUGUCUGUACAGGAUAGGUGGGAGACUGGGAAAUCAUAUCGUCAGGUAUGAGGGAGUCGACGUUGGGAUACCACCCUGAUAGUAUUGGAAUUCUAACCGGCGGCCGGGAAACAGGUCACGGGACAUUGUUAGGUGGGCAGUUUGACUGGGGCGGUCGCCUCCAAAAGAGUAACGGAGGCGCCCAAAGGUUCCCUCAGAACGGUCGGAAAUCGUUCGAAGAGUGUAAAGGCAGAAGGGAGCCUGACUGCGACACAGACAAGUGGAGCAGGGACGAAAGUCGGGCUUAGUGAUCCGGUGGUACCUCGUGGGAGGGCCAUCGCUCAACGGAUAAAAGCUACCUCGGGGAUAACAGGCUGAUCUCCCCCAAGAGUUCACAUCGACGGGGAGGUUUGGCACCUCGAUGUCGGCUCGUCACAUCCUGGGGCUGAAGUAGGUCCCAAGGGUUGGGCUGUUCGCCCAUUAAAGUGGCACGCGAGCUGGGUUCAGAACGUCGUGAGACAGUUCGGUCCCUAUCCGUCGCGGGCGUAGGAAAUUUGAGAGGAGCUGACCCUAGUACGAGAGGACCGGGUUGGACCAAUCACUGGUGCACCAGUUGUCACGCCAGUGGCAUAGCUGGGUAGCUAAAUUGGGACGGGAUAAACGCUGAAUGCAUCUAAGCGUGAAGCCCACCUCAAGAAGAGAUUUCCCAUGGAGAAAAUCCAGUAAGAUCCCUUGAAGACGACAAGGUAGAUAGGUGAGGGGUGUAAGUGCAGCAACGUAUUAAGCUGACUCAUACUAAUAGAUCGAGGGCUUGAUCU
Molecule: ribosomal RNA, 1222 nt
Filed under: metagenome
Description: bacterial LSU rRNA
Rfam family: Bacterial large subunit ribosomal RNA
Source: RNAcentral